Long non-coding RNA from Drosophila sechellia, 1031 nucleotides. RefSeq lists it as uncharacterized. The record is from RefSeq and is a predicted model, not a curated record. NCBI's taxonomy places the organism in Eukaryota, Metazoa, Arthropoda, Insecta, Diptera, Drosophilidae. The transcript has 3 exons.
UAUUUUAUUUUAAUUUGUAUUAACAAACCAAAGCAGCGAAACAUAUAUCCCAAAUUUAUAACUAGUCACCUUUUUAUACCAUGAUGCUGCAGCCCUGAAACUGACCGAUGUUGCAUCUUUCCUCUGCAGAGCCAAACCAAUCUCGGGCCCAAUCCCUAUCCAGUCCGGUCCGGACCGGCUGGCUUUGGUCAUGAGUCCCUAGUGCCCAGUGCCCGGUGCCUGGGCCCUGAUGAUCAUGACGCUGCUAAGUGUGGCCGGUGGUGCCCAGCAUGGGGCAGGGGCAGCCGGUUCAGUCUGUGGUGCUGUCCCCCCUCCUCAGCCCUCAGCGCUUGUUUGCAACAAGUAACGCGCGGAGGAAUCUGUAUUUGUCGGGCCAAAGAGUUGCUUACCUGCGGAGGCCGAGCUACCUGUGUCCAGGUAGGCGUAUGCAUGUGUGCCUGUGCCCUAUCCACAUCCUUCGUCUCUGCAGUGGAUGCAGCAGCCAGCGGUCAGCGAAGGCAGCGCAGCAUCGAACCAUCAUUAUAUUCAGGUUUUGAUGCUCCUCAUCCCCAUCCAGCACGCGAUAAAUCUCCGGCUUACAAUCAGGAGAAAUGCUGCCAGAACAAAAGCCCACAUGUCCAUUGCGUUGCCUUCGGCUCGCCGGUGAUUUGAAUAGCCACAGUUCUAGUGCCACAAAAAGAGCGAUGCUGCCAGUGGUCCCUGACCCUCGCCGUAAUCAAAGACGCCCAGUGAAUCAACCGAGGAGGGGGGUCUACUUUCGUAAAACCCCAACUCGACUUGCUCAUUAUUUUGCCGCUUUUUGGCUGGUCAUCGCUCUCAAGUGGCUCAUUCGGGUCGAGAUUGAUUCGAAAGAAAGGUGCAGAGAAAGUGUUACAACAAGACAGAAACCAAUCCUCGACUAUCAGAUACCCGUUACUCAGCUAGAGGAAAACGCAAUUUUGAACACAAAACAAAAAGAAAAAACUCGUAUCGUUUAAUUUUAGUAAUUGUAAUUUAAUAAUUAAAAGGACUCAUAUUCUCAUUUAGGGUUA